GCCCGGCGGUGGCUCGGACUCCUCGUCGCCGUCGAGUUGGCACUCCAAGUUCACGCCGAACAGCCUCACCCUCCUCGGGUUGUUCCCCGCCGCCGUGGGUGCGCCUCCUGGUAUCGGAGCCACAAAACCCGUGUAAUCGGAACUGAAGUGCCAUCAACAUUCACCAUAAAUGCAAUAAUAAACCUAAUCAGAAAACAAACUACUAUAUGGAGCCAGGUUGGGACGGCCCAUCAUCGUGCCCAGGAUAAGGACGCCGCACGGCAUAGCACCCCCCGCCACCGCCACCGCCACCGGUCUCCGCCGCCACCGUGGGCACACCGGGCGACGGCUCCCCUCGCCGCCUCCA
Syzygium oleosum is the source of this 346-nucleotide long non-coding RNA. RefSeq lists it as uncharacterized. NCBI's taxonomy places the organism in Eukaryota, Viridiplantae, Streptophyta, Magnoliopsida, Myrtales, Myrtaceae. The transcript is spliced from 3 exons. The record is from RefSeq and is a predicted model, not a curated record.